UCACGUCGGUGUUCUAUGGCAUCGCUUGU
RNAcentral lists this small RNA (29 nucleotides) under Bombyx mori (domestic silkworm). RNAcentral's name for it is "ovarian small RNA-25329". Lineage: Eukaryota; Metazoa; Arthropoda; Insecta; Lepidoptera; Bombycidae. The record is from RNAcentral.